RNA transcript from Solea solea (common sole), 5542 nucleotides. It is a transcript of the gene named polybromo 1, with no coding region annotated. The record is from RefSeq and is a predicted model, not a curated record. Lineage: Eukaryota; Metazoa; Chordata; Actinopteri; Pleuronectiformes; Soleidae. The transcript is spliced from 27 exons.
UGUGAAGUCGGAAGUGAGGCCGUUGAGUUGUCGCUGACUUCACACUUGUAUCUUUCUGUCUGAAAUCGAUAAGUGAUUGGCUUUUACUGGUCGUAAAACUGCGGUGCGCGCGGUGACAGAAGGGUUCGUCAUGGCCUUGAAAAGGAGACGGACGACCUCCCCCUCUAGCAGUGUGAGUGGAGGAGAUUUUGACGAUAACCAAACUUCGUCGUUAGUGUCUUCAAUUGGGAGAAAGAGGAGAAGGACCUCAAACAUACCGACUGUGGAUCCUAUCGCUGUUUGUCACGAACUGUACAACACAAUCCGAGAUUAUAAGGACGACCAGGGCAGGAUGUUGUGUGAGCUGUUCAUCAGAGCUCCUAAACGCAGGAAUCAACCAGACUACUACCACGUGGUGUCUCAGCCCAUCGACAUGAUGAAAAUCCAGCAGAAAUUGAAGAUGGAGGAGUACGACGACGUCGAUCAACUCACCGCUGACUUUCAGCUGUUAUUUAAUAAUGCUAAAGUGUAUUACAAGUCCGAGAGUCCCGAGUACAGGGCCGCCUGUAAACUGUGGGACCUUUACCUGCGGACCAAAAAUGAAUUUAUCCAGCGAGGGGAAUAUGAUGACGAUGACGAUGAUGACGGGUACGAUGCACAAGACAAUCCUGUGGGGACCACUGAAGAUGAGAGUGCACCUACCUGCCUGAAAGAGGUUCUUGAGCAGCUCCUCGAUGCUGUGGUAGCUUACACCGAGCCCAGUGGUCACCUGGUGAGCGAGCUGUUCCAGAAGCUUCCCUCCAAAAUGCAAUACCCCGACUAUUAUGCCAUCAUUAAGGAACCGAUUGAUCUGAAAAUUAUUGCUCAAAAAAUCCAGUUGGGCCAAUACAGGAGUGUCAAUGUCAUGGCCAAAGACAUAGAUUUGCUGGUCAAAAAUGCCAAAACUUACAAUGAGCCUGGAUCGCAGGUGUUUAAGGAUGCAAACACCAUUAAAAAGAUUUUUACACAGAAGAAGUCUGAGAUGGAACAUGGAGAGCCGAUCAAGUCCAGCAUUCGCAUCAGGAAUAGGAGGUCUGCCCAGGGAGACCGCCUCUCAGCAAUCACUAUGGCUCUUCAGUAUGAAAGUGAUGAGGAGGGCAUACUCUCUGGGUCUGUUCACUAUGAUGAGGGCGAGUCUGAGGCAGAGAGCAUGACGUCGAACAUGGACAUGAGUAACCCCAUCUUCCAGCUGUACGAAGCUGUGCGAGGUGCCAGGAACAGCCAGGGCCAGCUGAUCUCUGAGCCUUUUCUGCAGCUGCCCUCCAGGAAGGACUACCCCGACUACUACCACCGGAUUAGCCAACCCCUUUGCCUCCAUCAGAUCAAGAACAAGAUGAAGAACAAUGAAUAUGAGAAUGUCGAGCACAUCGACUCUGACCUGACGCUCAUGUUAGAGAAUGCCAAACGUUACAAUGUCCCUCACUCCUCCAUCUACAAGCGUGCGCUCAAGCUCCAGCACAUUCAGCAGAUGAAGAGAAAGGAGCUUUUACACAGAGAUGAUGAUGAUGGAGACAGCAUGCUCUCAUCUGCCACGUCUGACACCAGUAGUACAAAAAGGAAAAGCCACAAAAAGAAUACGAAGAAAAACCGAAUGAAAGCUCUCCUGGCUGCGGUGACUGAGGCACGACAAGCUGGCACCGGUCGGAGACUGUGUGACCUUUUCAUGGUCAAGCCCUCGAAGAAGGACUACCCCGACUACUACAAGGUCAUCCUGGAGCCAAUGGACCUCAGGACCAUUGAGUACAACAUCCGCUCAGACAAGUACAUGACCGAAGAUUCAAUGUUGGAACAUAUGAAGCUGAUGUUCCGCAACGCACGACAUUACAACGAGGAAGGUUCACAGGUGUACAAUGACGCAGACAUCCUAGAGAAGAUAAUGGAAGACAGACGCAGGGACCUUGGACCAGCGACUGAUGAUGAUGACAUCAUGUCCCCCAAGUUGAAAAUAAGAAAGAAUAGUAUUACACUGAAGAAGUCCAAGUAUCUAACACCCUUACAGCAAAAGCUGAAUGAGCUUUACGAGGCUGUCAAGAACUACACAGAUAAACGAGGCCGCCGUCUCAGCACAAUCUUCCUGCGGCUGCCGUCUCGCGCCGAGCUGCCCGACUAUUACAUAGCUAUCAAGAAACCUGUGGACAUGGAGAAGAUCAAGAACCACAUGUUGGCUAAUAAGUACCAAGAUGUGGAUGCACUAGUGGAGGACUUUGUGCUCAUGUUCAACAAUGCCUGUACUUACAAUGAACCCGAGUCUCUAAUUUACCGAGACGCUCUGAUGCUGCACAGGGUGCUUUUAGAGAGGAGGCGUGACCUGGAGGGAGGAGAUGAUGCUCAUGUGCCCGAUGUGCCUCGCCUCAUCCAGGAACUCAUCCGCAGCCUCUUUGUUUCUGUGCACAGUCACCAAGAUGACGAGGGCCGUUGCUACAGUGAUUCACUUGCUGAGAUUCCUGCUCUAGAUCCUGCAAAUCCUGAGAAGCCACAGCUUAAUUUCGAGAUAAUCCGUAGGCAUGUGGACCGGGGACAUUAUAAGAGGUUGGAUGUAUUUCAGGACCACAUGUUUGAAGUGCUGGAAAAGGCCAGACGAUUGAAUAGGACCGACUCUGAGAUCUUUGAAGAUGCUGUGGAGCUGCAGCAGUUCUUCAUCCGCAUCAGAGAUGAGCUGUGUAAGAAUGGGGAGAUCUUGAUGUCUCCAGCUCUCAGCUAUACCUCCAAACACUUGCAUAGUGAUGUGGAGAAGGAGAAGAAAGAGAAGCUACCCAAGGAGUUUGAGGAGGACAAUAUUAAGAGGGAAGAGGAGAAGAGGGAAGCUGAGAAGAGGGAGGACUCGGCCGGUGGAUCGUGGCAGUCUAACCUACAACGCACAUACAGCCAGGACUGCAGCUUCAAGGACAGUAUGUACCAUGUGGGAGACUACGUGUAUGUGGAGCCUGCGGAGCCCAACCUCCAGCCCCAUGUCAUCCACAUUGAACGCCUUUGGGAAGAUGAUGUUGGUGAGAAAUGGCUAUACGGCUGCUGGUUCUACAGACCAAAUGAAACAUUUCACCUUGCUACGAGAAAGUUCCUGGAGAAGGAAGUCUUUAAGGGUGACUAUUACAACAAAGCUCCCGUCAGCAAGAUCCUGGGGAAAUGUGUGGUCAUGUUUGUGAAGGAAUAUUUCAAACUUCACCCAGACGGCUUUAGAGCGGAGGACGUAUAUGUGUGUGAAUCCCGCUACUCUGCCAAAUCCAAAUCCUUCAAGAAGAUCAAGUUGUGGACCAUGCCCCUGAGCUCUGUCCGGCUGGUUCCCAGAGAGGUGCCCCUACCUGUGGUCCGCGUGGCAUCCAUGUUUGCCCCCAAACAAGAGGAGAAACCACUCGAGAUUGUUGAUGAAAGCAAAAUGAUUGAUGGUAUAGUGGACAAGGAGAGGGAGGACGUUCCAAUGGAUAUGGCCAAUGCAGACCCUGGAUGUCAGUACUAUGAGCAGCUCUGCUACAACAACCACUGGCUCAAAAUGGGAGACUUUGUCUACAUUGGUUCUCAUGGACUAGUGCGCCACCGAGUGGGCAGGAUUGAGAAAAUGUGGAUGCGUGACGGAGCAGGCUACUUCUUUGGCCCCAUAUUCAUCCAUCCAGAGGAAACAGAGCAUGAGCCCACAAAGAUGUUCUACAAGAAGGAAGUGUUCCUCAGCAACCUGGAGGAGACGUGUCCCAUGACCUGCAUCAUUGGAAAGUGUGUAGUGUCAUGCUUCAAAGAGUACCUGUCAUGCCGACCGACUGAAGUCCCUGAAGAGAACGUUCUCCUCUGCGAGAGUCGCUACAUUGACAGUGAGAAGCAGAUGAAGAAAUUCAAGGGGCUUAAGCGCUUUUCACUCUCUGGGAAGGUUGUGGAGGAUGAAAUCUACUACUUCAGAAAGCUCAUAGUGCCUCAGAAGGAGCCAUCACCACUGCUGGACAAAAAGAUUGAGGAACUGGAGGCUAAGUUUGCUGACAUGACGGAUGAGGAACUAGAGGACCUUGGGGAUGAUGAUGGCGAGCUCGGGGACCACUCUCUCCCGCAGAUGCAGUCUUCCAUGUCUGGUGACAUGGAUAUCAUGCCUUACACUGCUCCACAGUCCACACCAAAAUCCAUAAAAGGCCUCACAAAGAAGGAAGGCUCAAAGCGGAAGAUCAACAUGAGUGGCUAUAUCCUGUUCAGCAGUGAGAUGCGUGCUGUCAUCAAAGCCCAGCACCCAGACUUCUCCUUCGGGGACCUGAGCCGCCUCGUUGGCACAGAGUGGAGGAACCUGGAGAGUACCAGGAAAGCAGAGUAUGAAGAGCGAGCAGCAAAAGUGGCAGAGCAGCAGGAGCGUGAGCGGGCCCAUCAUCAGACGUCCCCUAGAGCAGGUACCCCAGUAGGGGCACUGAUGGGGGUGGUGCCUCCCCCAACCCCCAUGGGGAUGCUAAAUCCCAGCAUGACGCCUGUGUCAGGUAACCCCUCAUAGAUGCAGGUGGCUGUCCAGUUUGCAGUAGACGGCUGGAAAUAAGAAGCUGAACUGCUAGAUUUGUUCAUUUCUAAUCACCCUCAUGGCAGCAUGUAUGUAAUGUUGCAGCAUUGUGAUUUGAUUUUGUUUCCUCUUUGUUGUUUAUUACUAUUUAUUCCUAAACUUUAACAUCUUAUUACUGACUCCACGAGUCAGUAUUUGAUGCUUGAGCGUAGUGCAUGUGCACCAUAUUGUUUUCAUCGUAUGUUUUGGUUCUGUUUUGGCUUUUAUUCCCAUUAACCUUCCACAACAUGAUCUGUUGAUAGUAUAUCUAACAUACCAAUGCAUGCCUGGUAGCGUGGUAGCGAUGCAUGUUUGACCGAUGCAUGUUGCUGUUUUGUGUGACUACUGUCCCCUCCAUAGAAGAUAUGAUGGGUGCAUAUAGAUCAGCUAUGAUGCCCCAGCAGAGCCAUGUUGAAGGCAUGGUUAGUAUGACUGGCAUACCACCACAUCUCAUGGGGGUGCCUGUCUUUCCCCAACAUCUUCUUCCCGUUAUGCCUGGGUUCCAUGGAAUGCCAUCCUUUGGUAAGAGUGCUACCACUGCCACUCCACCCGCCUCGCAGUUGCUUCCUGUCUACCAAUCUGACUUGCUGGAGGGGAUACCUGUACCUGUAGGCUUAGCCCUUAAGUUGAUAACCACUCAGUUGAGGAACUAUAACCUCAACGGUGGCACUGAAGUGAAUGAGCAAAACCUGAUAUUUAAAUUUAAAUACCCAUAUUGGCAUUCCUAAUUGUGUGACAUGUAGAUUAACUGGACCUUGGAAUUUAGUAUUCGUAGUGUAAAUGAGAAUGAAAUUGACUGCUGCACUGUUUGACUGUGUCUCGAUGUUGAAUGCCACAGGUGUCAACGGCAUGGGAAGUCCUGGACAAGGAAAUAUUCAUGGUUCACAGCAAGCUCCACCACCAUAUCCAGGACAAGGCCUGAUGGGACAACCUGCGCUCCAGCAGCCGUCCACCCCGCUGUUUGUGUCCCCACCAGCCAAGACUCAGCGGCUGCUGCACUCUGAGGCAUAUCUCAGAUACAUUGAG